Mus caroli (Ryukyu mouse) is the source of this 675-nucleotide non-coding RNA. The record is from RefSeq and is a predicted model, not a curated record. Lineage: Eukaryota; Metazoa; Chordata; Mammalia; Rodentia; Muridae.
CUGUGAGGCAGUUCUUACCUUUCUUACCCAGGUUCUGGCAAUCAAACUGAGGUCAUUAGACUUAUGAAGCUUUAGCCACUGAGCCAGUUCUCUGCCCCUGGCCACAACAAAUUUUAUAUCUGCAGAUUCCAUUUUCAAAUGAAUCGUUGUGGUGAUAGUUCCGUGGGAAGUGACCAACUUCUGGAUGAACAGGAGCUAGCCUGAGCGUGACCAGAAAAAUGUGCUAUGGUGAGAAACAGUCCAGCAGACUUCGCAUGCCGAGUCUCAGAGGUUUUAUAUCUGUCUAGUCAGAAGGGGCUCCUAGUCUGUCAACCUUUUGGUAAUAUCUGGUGAUUUAUGACAGAACUGUUUGGCAAAGUACAUGGAUGGAGGCAGAAGAAAACCCACAUCAUGUUAAAGAUAAAAUUGAACACAAACAAGGCUGGAUAACCAAUGAGCUCCAGAGACCUGCUGUCUUCAUCUUCCCAGUUUAUGGUGACUUUACCAAUGGUCCGCUUUUUGUGGGGAUGAUGGCGAUCUGAACUCAGGUCCUCAUGCUCUGGUAGCAAGCACGUAACAACGGAACCAUCUCCCAGCCCCUGCCACUUUUCUUGAGAUGGUUUCAUAUGGCCUAGGAUGUAGGUGAGGAUGACUGUAAACUUCUGAUUAUUCUGCUUCUACCUCCAGAGUGCUAGG